UCCGGCUUGCCGCCGGCAGUCCCUCCAGAGUGCCCAACUAAAUGAUGGCAACUGAAGAGCUACAUCUCUGUUGCUCAUACGGGACAUGUCAAAGGUUGGUAAGGUUCUGCGCGUUGCUUCGAAUUGAACCACAUGCUCCACCGCUUGUGCGGGCCCCCGUCAAUUCCUUUGAGUUUUAAUCUUGCGACCGUACUCCCCAGGCGGGAUGCUUAAUGCGUUAGCUGCGCCACUGACAGGCAAGCCUGCCAACGGCUAGCAUCCAUCGUUUACGGCGUGGACUAC
This 282-nucleotide unclassified non-coding RNA is filed under the name uncultured Alphaproteobacteria bacterium. RNAcentral's name for it is "contains 16S-23S intergenic spacer region". Lineage: Bacteria; Pseudomonadati; Pseudomonadota; Alphaproteobacteria. The record is from RNAcentral.